This 26-nucleotide non-coding RNA is filed under the name Rattus norvegicus (Norway rat). Lineage: Eukaryota; Metazoa; Chordata; Mammalia; Rodentia; Muridae. The record is from RNAcentral.
UGUUCUUAGGUGAAGAGUUUUCCAGA